This is a long non-coding RNA of Gymnodraco acuticeps, 534 nucleotides long. RefSeq lists it as uncharacterized. Lineage: Eukaryota; Metazoa; Chordata; Actinopteri; Perciformes; Bathydraconidae. The transcript is spliced from 4 exons. The record is from RefSeq and is a predicted model, not a curated record.
UCAGAGGCGAGGGCCAUAAAUGAGCGGGUCGAGCAGCACUUUAAACACAUUUCUCAGUAAUCACUGACUAGAGAUAAGCCAAAAUGCCAGGAACAAAAGGUAAUAAGCAGGACAAGAAGUCAGCUACCAAGCAACCUCAGAGUCCUAAAGAGCAGCCGAAGAAAGUUGAUCAGAAAGGAGACGACACUAAGAAACAAGGAGCAGGACAGCCGAAGGGAGAGAAGCAAUAACUUCCAGGCGUUCGUGAAGAUGGCGCUGGAGACUCUGCUGGGUUCCUGCCGCCGUAAACAUGGUGGUGCCCGGGGCAAACAGGGCUGAUACCCUCCUCAACUCCUCAACUCCUCACCCCUUUAGCACUUCUUCCUCACCUCCUCUCCCCUCAGCCUGCAGACCGGGCUCUCACAGAGAAAGAAAGUGAACCUGAUCCAUCUGUUCUUCCCCCCCCUCCCUCACUGGUUUAUGGGAUGCUCAGGAUCUGACUUCAGGUGAAACAGGACUUCUGAUCGGACAUAAAUAUGUUGUCACCCCCUAACA